RNAcentral lists this ribosomal RNA (724 nucleotides) under uncultured bacterium. Its description in RNAcentral is "bacterial SSU rRNA". It matches the Rfam family "Bacterial small subunit ribosomal RNA", at positions 125 to 851 of the family's 1533-position model. The record is from RNAcentral.
CCUGCCGAUUAUUCCGGGAUAGCCUUUCGAAAGAAAGAUUAAUACUGGAUAGCAUAACGAGAAGGCAUCUUCUUGUUAUUAAAGAAUUUCGAUAAUCGAUGGGGAUGCGUUCCAUUAGUUUGUUGGCGGGGUAACGGCCCACCAAGACAUCGAUGGAUAGGGGUUCUGAGAGGAAGGUCCCCCACAUUGGAACUGAGACACGGUCCAAACUCCUACGGGAGGCAGCAGUGAGGAAUAUUGGUCAAUGGACGAGAGUCUGAACCAGCCAAGUAGCGUGAAGGAUGACUGCCCUAUGGGUUGUAAACUUCUUUUAUAUGGGAAUAAAGUGAGCCACGUGUGGCUUUUUGUAUGUACCAUACGAAUAAGGAUCGGCUAACUCCGUGCCAGCAGCCGCGGUAAUACGGAGGAUCCGAGCGUUAUCCGGAUUUAUUGGGUUUAAAGGGAGCGUAGGCGGAUUAUUAAGUCAGUUGUGAAAGUUUGCGGCUCAACCGUAAAAUUGCAGUUGAUACUGGUAGUCUUGAGUGCAGCAGAGGUAGGCGGAAUUCGUGGUGUAGCGGUGAAAUGCUUAGAUAUCACGAAGAACUCCGAUUGCGAAGGCAGCUUACUGGACUGUAACUGACGCUGAUGCUCGAAAGUGUGGGUAUCAAACAGGAUUAGAUACCCUGGUAGUCCACACAGUAAACGAUGAAUACUCGCUGUUUGCGAUAUACAGCAAGCGGCCAAG